CCUACGGGAGGCAGCAGUGAGGAAUAUUGGACAAUGGUCGAAAGACUGAUCCAGCCAUGCCGCGUGCAGGAAGACGGCCCUAUGGGUUGUAAACUGCUUUUGUUUGGGAAGAAACCUUUCUACGUGUAGAAAGCUGACGGUACCAUACGAAUAAGCACCGGCUAACUCCGUGCCAGCAGCCGCGGUAAUACGGAGGGUGCAAGCGUUAUCCGGAUUUAUUGGGUUUAAAGGGUCCGUAGGCGGACUUAUAAGUCAGUGGUGAAAUCCUGCAGCUCAACUGUAGAACUGCCAUUGAUACUGUAAGUCUUGAAUUCGGUUGAAGUGGGCGGAAUAUGGCAUGUAGCGGUGAAAUGCUUAGAUAUGCCAUAGAACACCGAUUGCGUAGGCAGCUCACUAAGCCUGGAUUGACGCUGAGGGACGAAAGCGUGGGUAGCGAACAGGAUUAGAUACCCUGGUAGUCCACGCCGUAAACGAUGAUUACUCGACAUUAGUCGAUACACGUAGUGUCAUAAGACGAAGACAUUAAGUAACUACCACCGUACGGGUAGGUACGUUACGUACGAAGAAGUAGUAAACGUUAAACGUUAAGUAGUAGUACGUCGUAGAGACGUACGACGACGGACGACGACGGAGGGAGGAG
RNAcentral lists this ribosomal RNA (640 nucleotides) under uncultured bacterium. RNAcentral's name for it is "bacterial SSU rRNA". The stretch from base 1 to 535 matches the Rfam family "Bacterial small subunit ribosomal RNA", at positions 338 to 873 of the family's 1533-position model. The record is from RNAcentral.